CGGGAAACCGGAGCUAAUACCGAUAAUAUAUUGAACCGCAUGGUUCAAUAGUGAAAGACGGUUUUGCUGUCACUUAUAGAUGGAUCCGCGCUGCAUUAGCUAGUUGGUAAGGUAACGGCUUACCAAGGCAACGAUGCGUAGCCGACCUGAGAGGGUGAUCGGCCACACUGGAACUGAGACACGGUCCCAGACUCCUACGGGAGGCAGCAGCC
RNAcentral lists this ribosomal RNA (212 nucleotides) under uncultured Staphylococcus sp. Its description in RNAcentral is "partial 16S ribosomal RNA". It matches the Rfam family "Bacterial small subunit ribosomal RNA", at positions 150 to 355 of the family's 1533-position model. Lineage: Bacteria; Bacillati; Bacillota; Bacilli; Caryophanales; Staphylococcaceae. The record is from RNAcentral.